CUACACAGACAGGAUAGAUCACGCAUCAAGAUGCGUAGUAUGUAGAACCUACACCGAGGUUCACAUCAGGGAGAGUAGUGCGUGCUGUACUCUUUUUCCUUCAUCAUGGUUUUGUCCCACUGGGUUUUCCUGAUAAGGUUUUAAUGAGGCAACAUUAAGCGUACUACAAAUCCUGUAUGCGCCAGUUGAAGGAUCUUCGGUGAUGCCUUCAUCAGGGGGAGUGUCAUGUGUUGUGCUCUUUUUCCUGUCUACGGUUUCCAUUUUUUCCCACCUUGGGUUUUUGGUUUUCCCAGAGAGGUUUUAAUGAGGCAACGUCGUGCAUGAUACAAAUCCAUAUGGUUAUGGCAUCCAAGGGGGAGUGUUAUAAAUCAUUAUGUGGAUGGCCCAUAACCAAGACCAAGACAAGGCCCAGCCGUGUACAAGAGGAGAGAGAGUCGGCGGCCAAGUUCCUAGUCGGCCAAGACUUAGGAUGUUUUCCAUUUAUCUGUUUUAGAUCUUUUCCUAUUUCAUGUUGUAUUAGGUUUUAGAUAAUUUCUUUUUUCCUAUAUUUUGUAAUCCUUAUGUAAGGAACUUCUAUUACUCAUUAAUAAGACACACGAAAUAUUCAGUCUUAAACCCUUCGUUUACAACAGACUUUAUAUUUUGGUGAUAUAAGAUAUUAGAUUUCUCGAGGGAACUUUUAAAGUUGACAAACGUCACUUUGAAACAUUUGACCAAAAUAUUUAUAUUGGCCGCAUGAUAUAUAACAGGGAUUUUUGGAUUUUGUAAGAAAGUCCAAUACGCUUCUAUUGUGCAAUUAGGAAUGUCAAAGGAAGGCUUGGCCCGCGGGAUAAGCCUGUUUAAACCUGUGGCAGAGCGGGAUUGGGCCUAAGAUCUGUUAUUCCGCAAUGUCGCGGGCCUCACGGGAAUAGACCUGUGCGGAAUGGGCUUUGUGUGGGAUGGACCGAAGAAGACCGCGGUUAACCCUAAUGUCCCACAGCUUUUUCUCUCUUCAUUUCAUCCGCCACCUGAAAAACAAAAGAGAGAGAGCUAGAGUGAAAGAGGAGUCGCCGCCACAAGAAAUGGAGCUCCGGCCAUGGUUUCUUCAUCGAUGAUGUUUCCUGUCUACCCUUCGCCUUCUAUCUCCUCCAGUGAAGCUUCUUGGAAACAUAACAAGAAGUUUGCGAAGUAACUCUCCAUCGAAGAAGAAGAUCCAGCUCCGGCCAUGGUUUCUUCAUCGACGGUGCUCCUGGGCUCUCAUGCAGUCCAUGCAUGUACGUCUUCUUCUCUUUCUCUCAAGUUUCAACCUUUUGUUUCUCUCAGAUUUCAUCAUAAAAAAAAAGACUUUUUUUAUAGUUGGAAUCCGUGAGAAACAGAGGAUAUUAGCGAUUAUGGGUUCCAUCACUCUGCCCAUAACGAGACUUCCACUACUCAACCUGACUUCUUCAUCAUUUUCACUUCCUCCUCCUCUCUCUAAUCCUCGUCGUCGCUCCAAUUUUUGACCGUUGGUCAUCACCGCAUCUGCCGUCUUCGCAGCUCCUUCUGAUGUUAAUAACUAUGUUCCGGUUAGUGCGCUUGUUCACCCUUUUCAUCUUUAAAGUUUGAAACUUUGCUUGUUUGAUCGUGUGAGAUUUGUUUCAGGCUAAAAACAGAGGUUACACAGUUGGUGAUUUCAUGACAGGGAGACAACAUCUGCAUGUUGUUAAUCCCUCAACAUCGGUUGAUGAUGGUAAUAUUGCUAAACAUGACAACAAUCUUCCUUGUAAUAAAUUAAUAAUAUCUACCGAACAUGUAGUCCCUAUGAUUUGUAUUUAUCCUUGAAAUUGUAACAACAUUGGAACUUCUGGUGGAGAAGAAAGUCACAGGAUUGCAUGUAAUUGAUGAUGAUUGGAAUCUGGUUGGCGUUGUUUCUGAUUACAACUUACUUGCACUCGACUCCAUCUCUGAUGGAGAAGGAGGCGGAUGGUACUCACUGUGAAAGCUGGUGUAGGCUCAAAACGAUAUAAGCACACCAGCUUGUUCAUUGAUAACCAGCCGCCUCCUUGUUCAAGAGAAGAAGAUACAAGACCCAACUAAACAUGUAUGGUCUUACUUUAUUUUAUCCCUGCUUGUCGAAUCACUUUGAUAACCAGCCGCUUAUAAUUUUCUUCUUUGCAUUGUGUACGUGGAUCAUACUGUUUACACGUCUUCUUUUUUUUGUUUUCUGUCUUGAGGUAUUGGAUUUAUCACAAGGAGAACAAGAGUCCGUAGAGCAGCUGCUCCAGUAGUUACCAGCUUCGUCCGAUGUAGGUGCUUUAAUGACCUCAGGUUAGUAAGUUGUCCAUAGAACACAUUCGAGAUUAUAUGGCUUUGCGUAGGUUAUCGAAUCACUGACUUGUUUAGGUUGCUUUCGUAGAUGAUAGAACAUUGACUUGUUUAGAUGGCUUUGCGUAGGUUAUCGGAUCACUUGAUGUUUACGUUGCUUUGCUUGUUUACGUUGCUUUACUUGUCGAAUCACAUUGAGUUGUUUAGAACGUGAUUUUAAACCAGAGAUUUGUUUUUGUGUACUUGUAUAAUAAAAUUUGGAAAUUUGAAAAUAAACAAUUGUAACAGAUUUUUAAAAAUAUAUUAACAAUUUUUUUAAAAAAUAGAAAAAAUUUAGGAAACCCUAAAAAGGUUAUUUCAUUCCACGGCGUGAAAAAAAAAACACAAAACUUGAGAGCGAGAGAAACCAUGGGAUCAAGGAGCGAGUCCGAAGAUCAGUCGACGUUUGAUCCGCAUUACUCCCCACCAAAUACCGUGGACUUUGCCACUCAGGAAGUCUAAGCUACUCUUGCUGCAGCAGCUGAGGUUGCUGAUCAGAUCACUUCUCAGGAAGCUGGUGUAACUCGUGCUGAUGGGAAGCAGCAAGGAAGCAGAAAAAGGCUUAUCAGUCUUGUCGAUGAUACUGAUGAUUCUGAUGUUGAAAUCAGUCAACCAACCCAAAAAACCAAGCCUUGCAGACAUACCAGUUUCGGAACAGCCACGAGGAAACCCAUGUUGCAAUCCACUAUAGAUGGUGG
This is a long non-coding RNA of Brassica napus (rape), 3020 nucleotides long. RefSeq lists it as uncharacterized. The record is from RefSeq and is a predicted model, not a curated record. The transcript is spliced from 3 exons. NCBI's taxonomy places the organism in Eukaryota, Viridiplantae, Streptophyta, Magnoliopsida, Brassicales, Brassicaceae.